GUUGACCUCGGAUCAGGUAGGGAUACCCGCUGAACUUAAGCAUAUCAAUAAGCGGAGGAAAAGAAACCAACAGGGAUUGCCUCAGUAACGGCGAGUGAAGCGGCAACAGCUCAAAUUUGAAAUCUGGCCUCUUUAGGGGUCCGAGUUGUAAUUUGUAGAGGAUGUUUCGGGUACCCUCCGGUUUAAAUUUCUUGGAACAGAAUGUCAAAGAGGGUGAGAAUCCCGUCUUGGACCGGCGGUAGGGCCCAUGUGAAACUCCUUCGACGAGUCGAGUUGUUUGGGAAUGCAGCUCAAAAUGGGUGGUAAAUUUCAUCUAAAGCUAAAUAUUGGCCAGAGACCGAUAGCGCACAAGUAGAGUGAUCGAAAGAUGAAAAGCACUUUGAAAAGAGAGUUAAACAGUAUGUGAAAUUGUUGAAAGGGAAGCGCUUGCAACCAGACUUGAGCGCGGCGGUUCCCCCUUCCUUCUGGUUGGGCUACUCCGUCGCGUCCAGGCCAACAUCGGUUCUGGGGGUCGGUCAAAGGCUCGGGGAAUGUAUCUACCCUUCGGGCGUAGACUUAUAGCCCCGAGUGUCAUGCGACCUCCCGGGACCGAGGAACGCGCUUCGGCUCGGAUGUUGGCGUAAUGGUUGUCAGCGACCCGUCUUGAAACACGGACCAAGGAGUCUAACAUCUAUGCGAGUGUUUGGGUGUCAAACCCGGAACGCGGAAUGAAAGUGAACGGAGGUAGGAAGCUUCUGCUGCACUAUCGACCGAUCCUGAUGUCUUCGGAUGGAUUUGAGUAAGAGCAUAGCUGUUGGGACCCGAAAGAUGGUGAACUAUGCCUGAAUAGGGUGAAGCCAGAGGAAACUCUGGUGGAGGCUCGCAGCGGUUCUGACGUGCAAAUCGAUCGUCAAAUUUGGGUAUAGGGGCGAAAGACUAAUCGAACCAU
Molecule: ribosomal RNA, 928 nt
Filed under: Rhinocladiella atrovirens
Lineage: Eukaryota; Fungi; Ascomycota; Eurotiomycetes; Chaetothyriales; Herpotrichiellaceae
Description: eukaryotic LSU rRNA
Rfam family: Eukaryotic large subunit ribosomal RNA
Source: RNAcentral